Piloderma croceum F 1598 is the source of this 83-nucleotide non-coding RNA. Lineage: Eukaryota; Fungi; Basidiomycota; Agaricomycetes; Atheliales; Atheliaceae. The record is from the annotation of a GenBank genome assembly.
GCCCGCUUAGCUCAGUGGUAGAGCGCGCCACUCGUACGAUAUCCAUGAUGGUGAGGUCGGUCGUUCAAAUCGGCCAGUGGGCA